AAUUUUGACAGAACCCUUCGGGGUGAAGACAAAAUGGAUUAGCGGCGGACGGGUGAGUAACACGUGAGUAACCUGCCUUAGACAUUGGGAUAGCCUUGGGAAACCGGGAUUAAUACCAAAUAAAAUCAUAGGUGCACAUGCACUAAUGAUCAAAACUCCGGUGGUCUAAGAUGGACUCGCGUCCCAUUAGCUAGUUGGUAGGGUAACGGCCUACCAAGGCGACGAUGGGUAGCCGGCCUGAGAGGGUGAACGGCCACAUUGGAACUGAGAAACGGUCCAAACUCCUACGGGAGGCAGCAGUGGGGAAUAUUGCACAAUGGAGGGAACUCUGAUGCAGCGACGCCGCGUGAACGAAGAAGGCUUUCGAGUCGUAAAGUUCUUUUAUAUGGGAAGAUAAUGACGGUACC
RNAcentral lists this ribosomal RNA (407 nucleotides) under uncultured Peptostreptococcus sp. Its description in RNAcentral is "bacterial SSU rRNA". It matches the Rfam family "Bacterial small subunit ribosomal RNA", at positions 69 to 479 of the family's 1533-position model. The record is from RNAcentral. Lineage: Bacteria; Bacillati; Bacillota; Clostridia; Peptostreptococcales; Peptostreptococcaceae.